GUGAACUGAGGGAGAGGGGGCGGUGUAAUACGAGGGUUGCAAACGUUGCUCGGGAGUAUGUGGCUUAAAGCAGACGGAGGCGGAUUGUCAAGUCCCAGUUGAAAUCCCACGGCUUAACCGUGGAAGGUGAUGGGAAACUGCUGAGCUUGAGUACUUAAGAGGAGCGCGGAAUUCCCGGUGGAGAGGUGAAAUUCGUAGAUAUCGGGAGGAACACCAGUGGCGAAGGCGGCGAUCUGGGAAGAUACUGACGCUGAGGUGCGAAAGCGUGGGGAGCAAACAGGAUUAGAUACCCUAGUAGUC
RNAcentral lists this ribosomal RNA (300 nucleotides) under uncultured bacterium. RNAcentral's name for it is "partial 16S ribosomal RNA". It matches the Rfam family "Bacterial small subunit ribosomal RNA", at positions 496 to 795 of the family's 1533-position model. The record is from RNAcentral.